This is a small nucleolar RNA of Tachyglossus aculeatus (Australian echidna), 138 nucleotides long. The record is from RefSeq and is a predicted model, not a curated record. Lineage: Eukaryota; Metazoa; Chordata; Mammalia; Monotremata; Tachyglossidae.
CACCUCUCAGGGUUGCAUCUAGAGAGUUCCCAGUACUCUACCAGUUUCAACUCUGGGAGGGAGAGCCAAGCAGAGGGAUACCCAUUCCAUUCCUAGCUUGGGCAAUGGCUAACAAGUGGAAGGCAAUCUGCUACAAGU